This 783-nucleotide ribosomal RNA is filed under the name Ralstonia solanacearum. RNAcentral's name for it is "bacterial SSU rRNA". It matches the Rfam family "Bacterial small subunit ribosomal RNA", at positions 103 to 883 of the family's 1533-position model. The record is from RNAcentral. Lineage: Bacteria; Pseudomonadati; Pseudomonadota; Betaproteobacteria; Burkholderiales; Burkholderiaceae.
CGGGUGAGUAAUACAUCGGAACGUGCCCUGUAGUGGGGGAUAACUAGUCGAAAGACUAGCUAAUACCGCAUACGACCUGAGGGUGAAAGUGGGGGACCGCAAGGCCUCAUGCUAUAGGAGCGGCCGAUGUCUGAUUAGCUAGUUGGUGGGGUAAAGGCCCACCAAGGCGACGAUCAGUAGCUGGUCUGAGAGGACGAUCAGCCACACUGGGACUGAAACACGGCCCAGACUCCUACGGGAGGCAGCAGUGGGGAAUUUUGGACAAUGGGGGCAACCCUGAUCCAGCAAUGCCGCGUGUGUGAAGAAGGCCUUCGGGUUGUAAAGCACUUUUGUCCGGAAAGAAAUCGCACUGGUUAAUACCUGGUGUGGAUGACGGUACCGGAAGAAUAAGGACCGGCUAACUACGUGCCAGCAGCCGCGGUAAUACGUAGGGUCCAAGCGUUAAUCGGAAUUACUGGGCGUAAAGCGUGCGCAGGCGGUUGUGCAAGACCGAUGUGAAAUCCCCGGGCUUAACCUGGGAAUUGCAUUGGUGACUGCACGGCUAGAGUGUGUCAGAAGGAGGUAGAAUUCCACGUGUAGCAGUGAAAUGCGUAGAGAUGUGGAGGAAUACCGAUGGCGAAGGCAGCCUCCUGGGAUAACACUGACGCUCAUGCACGAAAGCGUGGGGAGCAAACAGGAUUAGAUACCCUGGUAGUCCACGCCCUAAACGAUGUCAACUAGUUGUUGGGGAUUCAUUUCCUUAGUAACGUAGCUAACGCGUGAAGUUGACCGCCUGGGGAGUAC